UUAAAAUGGCUUCCUAGGAGGUAAGAGUUGAACUGUUGUCAAAUCGAGUUCCUUGUCUCUUGAACAUUUACAUGAUGGUUUAAGGAAGAGAGGAAGGACACAGAGAUGCCAACCAAGUUGUGGAAACAGUAGAGGAGAUUAAUACUUAGAGAACUGCGGCCAAAGGAUGGCAGCGGAUUGUCCUUGUCAAAUGGUUCUUAUUUAUGGUGGCACCAGCCGGGUAGUGCAGAAGAGUCUGAGAAGGAUUGACAUUAAACAGUAUGCUCAGCCUUGACCCGGUUUAGUCACUUCCAAGGAACCCAAGAGCACCAAGGAAACAUUUUCCAACAAUUGGAUCUUGGAAACAAGCAUGGAGAAAAUGAUUACAUGAAAUCAAAACACCAUCAGCUUCCUCUGAAUUCUACCUUAUGUUUUAGCGUCUCUAUGGCUCCCUGGCUUGGAAUAAUUUCAAGCUCCUACUGGUUUGUGGCAAGACAUCUUCUUCAUCUCUAAAUACAUUUUUCCUUUAAAAAAAA
This is a long non-coding RNA of Dipodomys ordii (Ord's kangaroo rat), 515 nucleotides long. RefSeq lists it as uncharacterized. The record is from RefSeq and is a predicted model, not a curated record. NCBI's taxonomy places the organism in Eukaryota, Metazoa, Chordata, Mammalia, Rodentia, Heteromyidae. The transcript is spliced from 3 exons.